Acinonyx jubatus (cheetah) is the source of this 6253-nucleotide long non-coding RNA. RefSeq lists it as uncharacterized. The record is from RefSeq and is a predicted model, not a curated record. The transcript is spliced from 6 exons. NCBI's taxonomy places the organism in Eukaryota, Metazoa, Chordata, Mammalia, Carnivora, Felidae.
GCGGUGCUUCCUGCGGACACAGGCGCUUCGAGGCGGCUAGGGCGGCGGCUCAGCGCUGGGGUUCGUCCCCUCCCCGCCCGGCCCGCGGGCUUCGCCGCCUGGGUCUUCCCUGGGCGCCAGCCGUCCCGUGCGCGGUCUGGCCGCUGGAAGCCCGGAGGCUCUCGGAAGUUUUGAUUUGGAACCAGGAAAGGGUUUGAACUCUCUCAGAGUUGUGGGGAGAGGCCACGGUUUCCGGACGUGAAGAACGUCGAAGAAAUUGUUGUUGGCGGUUAUUAGGUUGUGGUUUUCACAUGCGGCCAGCCCAGGAGCUGAGAUUUUAAGAGAUUAUCCCUCCUCCCUUACCCCGCCAGAGACUUAGAAAUAAGGGAACUGACAAGUGAAACAACUUGAGGAAUGGAGAUGUGAACAGCUAACGGGACACCUGCCUCUCCGGGAUCUUAUCUUGGGUAUAGUAGUUCCUUCGUGGAUGUUUGUGCAGUGGAGGAUGGAGUGAAUGAAUGUGCAAAUGAACAAGGAGCAAACACACGUAGGAUUUAGGUGGCAAAUCUCCCUGAAGACCCUUAGUGUGCCUGUCCUCCAUGAGACUGGUGGCUCUUUGCAGAGGCCUUUGCUGACAACACCUCCUCCAUAUGGAAGGCCAUUUGACGUGCUUCAGAGUGGCAAUAUCCAACCCGUUCUCUAAAGCCCAACUUCUGUGCCAUCUCCCGAACGAUGUCCCUCUAAACUCAUUCGCCUCCAGAUUCCCAGACUCACUUUGUGAACCUCCUCUGAAGGAUUUAGCACGUUAUUUCCUGCAUGUACAGUAACUCGCAUAUGCAACUUGCUUACGUGGUUGAGGGCAGGGACUGUACUGCAGUGGUGUUCGUAUCUCUCCAGCUCCUAACAGAGGAACUUACACAUGAGAAACUCUCAAGGCACCAGCUGUGAAGGCCAGCUGGGGAGAGCCUAGCCUGUCUGUGCUGAGUUCCCAUUUAGGCUCAAAGACUAGAUCCAACGUGGAAGAACAUGGUUUUUUGGCUUCCAAACCAGGUAACUCUGGGCAUCAGACCACAAUCUUCUUAUCAGACCACAACAUUAGUAUUUGCCACCUUGGACAUCACAGGUACAGAGUCAAAGAAGACCAGCACCGCAAAUCCGUUGAAAAGGCCUGGACUGUUGUUACUGAGUUGGUAUUGCAAACUUGGUGGGUGCAAACGGUGAGGUGUAUUUUUUCUUUUUCUUUUUUUCAUUGCUUUAUGAGCCAGGUCAACAUAAGCACUGAGGAGAGAUGCCUGGAUUGCUCCCAAAGAGGAGGCAAUAUGAGCAUAAUUUUCAAGUUAUCCCUGAUUUAUCCCUGAUGGAAAUUUCCAUGAAUGUGUCUUUGGAUUGAGGAGUCAGUUGAUUGGAUUCAUAUGGAAGUCUGCAAAGGGCUCUGAGUAACCAGUCUCCUUCACUUUUUUGUUUAUGUUUUUCCUCUUCAUUCACUCUUUGUUACUGAGAUAUAAUUCACUUUCCAUGAAACCCUUUUCAAGUGUGUGAUUUGGUGGCAGUUAUCAUAUUCACAAACUUGUACAGCCCUCAUCACCAUCUUUCCAGAACAUUUUCAUCACCUCUUUCAGAGGUGAUGAAACUCCCCACCCACCUCAAGCCCCCACCCUGGGAACCACUAAUCUACUCUCUGGUUUACAAUGUUUUGUAAUUUUCGUGGUACUAGUCUUGCACUGCUUUUGUUAUAUUCAUUUACUUUUUUUUAAUGAUUAUUUAUUUUAGAGAGAGAGAGAGCAUGAGUGAGGGAGGGGCAGAGAGAGGGACAGAGGAUCCAAAGCAGACUCCAUGCUGACAGCAGACAGCCUGAUGUGGGGCUCGAUCCCACGAACCAUGAGAUCAUGACCUGAGCUGAAGUCGGAUGCUUAACCAUCUGAGCCACCCAGGCACCUGUCAGGUUUUUUCUACUUCGCUGUUCCUCUGUCCUUCACAGAGACCUUCAUUCUCAAGCCUCUUAUCUCAUGAUUGCAAAGUGGCUGCUGCACUGCCAGGCCUCACACUUCCAUUCCAGGCAGGAAGGAAGGAGGAAGGGUGAGAGGAUGCAGAGCUUAUAUUUAGCAAGUCCUUAUCUUCUUAUUUAGGAGGCGACGCCCUCCCUCAAGCUUGGGAAAGCCAAGUGUCUUCUUUUAUUAACUGUCUUAUUUAAUCCCUAUUUUAAUAGUCUCAAGUAGGUAAUAUUUUCCCUGCUUUACAGAUGUGGAAGCAUAGAGAACUUAGUAACUUUCCCAAGGUCACACUGUCCGGGGCUGAGCUAAGACUAACAGUAAUAACACACUACAUCUUUCCAGCCUGUGUUCUGCUAUUGCAUACAAAGCACUUCCCCAUUUGUUUCUCCAUUUGGGUCUCGCAAAACUCUGAGAUGGGCAAGGAAGGUAUUGGAAUAGCCUCGUUUCGCAGGAGAGGAAUUUGAGACACAGAGAAGUAAACGGUGACUUACCCAAGGCACCCAGCCAGCAACUUUCAUUCAACUGGGUUAAUCUCAGGUCUAGUGUCCUGUCUUCUGGACCCCCUUGAGAGGUCAAGGAGCACUUUCAAUGAGGGAGACAGACGCACAGAAAAGGUGCAAAUGGAUUUCAUGUGCUUCAGGUUUGCAUAGGCUCAGCUUUUGGGGGGCUUUUCUGCUGAUUCUCUGCUUCCUUUUUUCCUGUAGUUUCCAUCCCUGUCAUAUAUUUAUUUUCUAACAGGAAAUUUGUAUCUCUUCAUCCCCUUUGCCAUUUCACCCAUCCCCACCCCCACCCCAGGCCCCUCUGGCAGUCACUAGUUUGUUCUCUGUAUGAGUCCACUCAUGUUUUGUUUCGCUGCUUUUUGGAUUCCAUUUGUAAGCAAAAUCGUAUAGUAUUUGUUGUUUUCUGACUUAUUUUACAUAGCAGAAUACUCUCUAGGUCUAUCCAUAUUGUUGGGAAUCACAAGAUCACAUUCUUUUUUAUGGCCGAGUAAUAUUCCAUUGUGUGUGUGUGUGUGUGUGUGUGUGUGUGUGUGUGUGUGUGUGCGCGCGCAUGCAUACACACACAUCUUCUUAACUGUUCAUCUAUCCAUGGACACUUAGGUUGCUUCCAUAUCUGGGCUAUUGUAAAUAAUGCUGUAAUAAACAUAGAGGUGCAUAUAUCUUUUUGAAUUAGUGCUUCAUUUUCUUUGGGGAAAUACUCAGAAGGGAAUUACUGGUUUAUAUGGUACUUCUAUUUUUAAUUCUUUGAGAAACCUCCUUACUGUUUUCCAUGGCAGCUGUGCCAAUUUACGAUCCCACCAACAACGCGUGAGGGUUCUCUUUUCCCCACAUCCUCACCAACACUUGUUAUUUCUUUUGUUCGUUUGUUUUUCAUGUUUAUUUAUUUUAAGAGAGAAAGAGAGGGAGAGAGAGAAUCCCAAGCAGGCUCUGCGCUGACAGCCCCAAUGUGGGGCUGGAUGCCACGAACUGUGAGGUGAUGACCUGAGCCUCGAUGAUGACCGAGGCUUCAUGGACCGAGCCACCCAGGCGCCCCUCAACAGUUGUUAUUUCUUAUGUUUUUGAUUUUAGCCAUCCUGACUUGCAUGAAGUGACGUCUCACUGUGGUUUUGAUUUGUGUUUGCCUGAUGAUGAGUGAUGAUGAGCAUCUCUUCGUGUGGACCCUGGCUCUGACGUUCCCGCAGGGAUGGGGGGGGGGUGUGUCUGGGACCAGGAGGAGAGGCACCAAGACUUUGUCUUAGAAUAGACUUGGCAUGCAGAGGGGGUCUGCAUCACCUUUCUGAACCAGUGGGUUUCACUCUUUGCACAUGUGUUUUCCAGCUUCACUUCCUGAGGCAUCUGCUGCUGGAAGGGGGGUUUCCUAGACUGAAAAGUCAGACUCCAUCUUAAAUAUUAUCUUCCUCUUCCUGAACACAGGUAACACAGAGGAGUGUAUGUUCCUGACAACCUAGUUUGAUUACAUGGUGAAAGGACAGAAGAGAAGACCAAGUCCAGUGGUCUGAAAUGCGUGCUGCACUGGCUGCUGACAUAAGCAAGCACACUGCCUGCUGGUUCAAGGGGCUGCCCCGGGAGCUAAUUACAGACACGAGGCUGUGUGGCCGGCAGACCGCGGCUGGAUGUGAUUAGAGGGUUUUGGAGUGUUGCCAUCUGCUCACUUUCAUGGACACAGGGGAAGCAGCCAGGGUAAUGUCCCCCUUCAGGCCUGUCUGCCCCAUCCUCCAACCUUCCAGCUGCUCCGGCUGAUGGCCUUGGAGGCAUCUUGACUCUUGUUUCACAUUCUUCAUCAGAUCCACGAGCAGACCGGCUGGCCCUGCUUUGAGCAUGUAUGCGUCAUCUCACUAAUGUUACUUGCCUCUGCUGGAGCUGUGCUGGACCAGGCUCCCGUCAUUUCACAACUGGGGCUACAGAAGCAGCCUCCUGGCUGGUUUUCUUGCUUCUGCUCUGCGUUUUUUGUUUUUCAAAUUUUUUAAUAUUUAUUUAUUUUUGAGAGAGAGAGAGAGAGCACAAGUGGAAGAGGGGCAGAGAGAGAGGGAGACACAGCAUCUGAAGCAGGCUCCAGGCUCCGAGCUGUCAGCACAGAGCCCGAUGUGGGGCUUGAGCCCACGAAUCAUGAGAUCAUGACCUGAGCUGAAGUUGGACCUUCAGCCGACUGAGCUACCCAGGCGCCCCUGCUCUGUCUUCUUAUGCUUGGCGUUCAACACAGUGGGUAGGGGGAUCCUUUUUACAGAUUUAAGACAUCAUGGAACCGCCCUCAAUUCUUCUCUGAAUUUUCCAGAUCCUCAUCCUGCUCAGAGGAAAACCUCAAGUCUGUCCAGGGGCUUGUCACCCCCAUGGUUCUUUGAAUUGAUCUGCCACUCUCCCUGGCUUUCUGGACUUAGGCCACACUGGCCUCCUUCCUGUUGCUGGAGCAUGUCAGGCAGGCUUCGGUCUCCACACCAUUCCUGCUGCCCUGAUGGCUCCCUCUGCCUAUGACGUGGUUCCCCAGAUAACCACAUAGUCCCCUUUCUCACCUCCUUCAAAUCUCUGUGCAAAUGUUUCCUUCUCAGUGAGACCUGAUCACCCUAUUUAAAACUGCAGCUAGGCCUGAAGCCCAGACUACAUUGUGUAUUAACUGACUUGAAUAUAAAUAAAAAGAAAAAAAAAAAAACAACAGAAGGCGGCAAAUCAUAAGAAACUCUUAAAUAGAGACAACAAGCUGAGGGUUGAUGGAGGGGAGGUGGGUGGGGGGAAUGGGCUACAUGGGUGAUGGACAUUAAGGAGGACACUAGUUGGGAUGAGUGCUGGGUGUUAUACGGAAGUGAUGAAUCACUAAAUUCUACUCCUAAAACCAAUACUACACUAUAUGCUAACUAUCUUGAAUUUAAAUAAUAAAAAAAGAUUGGAAAAAAAUAAAUAAAAGAUAAAAUGCAUGGAAAAGAAAUAAAGCUACAGCUAUGUAUUUAGAACUAUGUGUUAGUUUUGCUAUAGGUUUUUUUUUUUUUUUGUAGAUUUAAUAAAACCUUGGUUUGUGAGCAUAAUUCGUUCCAGAAACAAGCUUGUAAUCCAAAGCACUCACAUAUCAAAGUGAAUUUCAAGAACCAUCGGCUCAGUUGUGAUCAUGUGACAUUCGGUGUCACACAUUACUCAUAUUGCAAGACAUCACUCAUUUAUUAAGUUAAAAUUUAUUAGAAAUGUAGGAAAUAAUAAGCAUUUAUUAGAAAUAUAGGAAAUAGUAAACUAAAAGGCAACCGACAGAAUGGGAGAAGAUAUUUGCAAACGACAUAUCAGAUAAAGGGUUAGUAUCCAAAAUCUAUAAAGAACUUAUCAAACUCAACACCCAAAAAACAAAUAAUCCAGUGAAGAAAUGGGCAAAAGACAUGAAUAGACAAUUCUCCAAAGAAGACAUCCAGAUGGCCAACUGACACAUGAAAAAAUGCUCAGUAUCACUAAUCAGGGAAAUACAAAUCAAAACCAUAAUGAAAUACCACCUCACACCUGUCAGAAUGGCUCACAUUAACAACUCAGGCAACAACAGAUGUUGGCGAGGAUGCAGGGACAGAGGACGUCUUUUGCACUGCUGGUGGGAAUGCAAACUGGUGAAGCCACCCUGGAAAACGGUAUGGAAGUUCCUAAAAAAAUUAAAAAUAGAACAACCCUAUGACCCAGCAAUUGCACUACUAGGUAUUUAUCCAACGGAUACAGGUGUGCUGUUUCGAAGGGACACACACAUCCCAAUGUUUACAGCAGCACUAUCAGCAAUAGCCAAAGUAUGGAAAGAGUCCAAAUGUCCAUCAGUGGAUGAAUGGG